ACACACGCACAUGCUUGCACGCACACGCUUGCACGCACACACUUGCUUUCACAAUCCGCUUGCACACACACUCUUGCACACACACUCUUGCACACGCACAUGAACACACACUUGCACACACACAUGCAUGUACACAGCCUUGCACACACACACACAUGCACACAGACACCCGCUUGCACACACAUACACACACACUGCUGCACACGGUUUCCCCCAUUCUGUCUCCUGACUCUGCCCCUGCCAGCCUGGAUGGCGGACACACCCUUUGCCUCCUCCAAGGGUCAAAAUCCUACCUGGCUUUCUAAGAUCCUCUGCUCCUCCAAGGAGCCUGUCCCCAUCCCCCAACCCUGUGUGCACUUGUGCUUUGUACCUCUCCAUGUGCCAUCACAGCCAACCUGGCCUUGUAUCCCUAACCAUUCAUUUAUUCAUUCACUUGUUCAACAAAUAUCAGCUGAGCCCCUACACGGUGUCAGGCACCAGGCCAGACGCUCAUGAUGCAUGGGGCAGGGUUACCAGGGUGCCUGCCUUCCUGGAACCUUAAGUCCAGUGGGGGAGGCACUGCAGGGAAACCUCCUUGAAAACAAGACCUCGGUGGUCUGGACUUUGGGGGGGUCUCUUCCCCCCGCCAACCUUUCAUGGAGGCUGAAACAUAACAAAUGCCAAACAGCCCCAGCCAGAGAGACGGGCUGGCUUCCUGCUCCUCUGUCUCCCAGUUCUUUUCUCCCCUGGACAGGAACCCCAGGUGGAUCAGCAUCCCUGGACCCACGGUGAGCGACCCCGGCGGCCCACCCACACACACCUGAGGGCAGGGCGAGGCGGGCCCGGGCUGCAGCGCUCCAGCCACCAGGCGACUCAGCAGCAGCUGGUGCAUCUGCGCGUUCUGCAGCAUCAUCAAUUCCAGCAGGUCUAGGAAGCGGGGUUCAUCAAGCCCACGCCGGGCCUCCGAGUCCCCCUCCCCCUGACACCCCUGUCCCAGGGGGCGAAGAAUGGGUUGGCGGGUUGUGCUGUGGGGACUCCCAGAGGAUGUGCGGGGCAGAAGGGGGUGAGUGGUGGUGAUGGUAGGGAUGGAGUGGGGGGACCCGGGAGUCUCACCUUCCUUCACGCGGCCUGGCUGCGGGGGCGCAGGUGGGAUGGUCCACGAGAGGGGCUGCAGGACGGUGACCCAGGGCUGGGGGUGUGCGCGGAGUCAGCCAGGUAGGGUGGGGGGAAUGGAUGGGGACACGUCGCGAGCCCCAACCCCUCUCGGCCAGUGGCCUCCCUAACCCCGCAGGGGCCAGGUUCUCUCCUCCCCGCCCCGCGGCCUCCCUGCUCCCUGCCACGCCUCUUCCUCUGGGUUUGGGGCUGUCUCUCCUCGCCCCCCACCCGCCCCCACCCCUCCAGGAUCUGGCCCCUCCAGGGACAGCUCCCCACUCUGCCGUCUCCCAAGCUAAGGCAGGAUCUGCUCCCGGGCUCAGCCCUCACCGUCGGGACUGCGCUCUGCGGUGGGGAGCGACCCCAGCUCCCGCCCGCCCCAGAGGCCAUGGCUGGCGCCGGUUGCCUUGGCGACGCCGAGGACGCCAAGAGAGAGGGGUUUCCUGCCAGGAAAGAGUGGUUUCUGGAGCAGACCAAGGAAGGAAACACUGCCCGAAUUCACGGAAGAGGCUGAGGACUCUGGCUGGAAACACGUGGCCGGCUUCUCGGCUCUCUCCUUGCGGCUAUUUACCCCCUGUUCCCUGGCCAAGGUAGAAAGAGAACCAGCCAUUUUGCUCAUCGUCAACAAACCUUGACCAAGGAAGCGUCUGCGUGUGCAAUGUGCCAUCUGAACCCUGGAGGCAUAAGCAGUAUGGUCACUGGUCCCAGCAUUGUUGGGAAGUGAAAAUGUAUCCAUGGAAAGAGAGCAGAAAGAUAAGACUACGCCCCGGGGAUAAUGAAAAAGAGAGGACUUGACUACUGAGGGAUGGAAUUCCAAGGAAGGCAGUCCUUGAUGGGGCCGAGCAGCAUAGGAAGACGGGUGCUAUCAGGCUGGGGACAGAGCCCAAGCCAAGACCCAGGUGUAUGAAUGGACAGGACCUGAGAUGACCCAGUGGGUCAAACUGUCUGACUGUGGAAGGGGAGCUGGGCAGAGAGCAGAGGUCCAGGGACAGGUCAGACUUGAAUGCCGAGGUUUGGAAUUUAGGCUUGGCCCUGUGGGUAAUGGAGAGCUAUCAGUGGGUUUCAAGCAAGACGGAGAUACCAAGUGCUGUGGCCAGCCAUGUUUCAGGAAGAUUGUUCUUGUCCACCUUUGUUUAUGUCAACCACAUUUAGAAGUAAUAAAUGUCUGAUAGGGGGUCAGGUGCGGUGGCUUGUGCCUAUAGUCCCAGCUACUCAGGAGGCUGAGGCAGGAGGAUCGCUCGAGCCCAGGGAUUCAAGGAUGCUGUGAGCUACGAUCACGUCACUGCACUCCAGCCUGGGAAACAGGGUGAGACCCAGUUUCUAAAACAAACAAACAAACAAAUGUCUGAUGGGGAUGCAUCCUCCCAAUAGAAUACUAUUCAACCAUGGAUAAUGUGGGAAUAGAAUACCUCUGUUGAUGUGGAAAGCUGUCCAAGAGAGUUGAGUCAAAAAUAUCAGUAAGCAUAGUAAGAUCUUAUUUUUGUUCUAAAAAUCAUAUGCAUAAGUCCAGGCACGGUGGCUCACGCCUGUAAUCCCAGCAGUUUGGGGGGCCAAGGCAGGCAGAUCACUUGAGGUCAGGAGUUCGAGACCAGCUGGCCAACAUGGUGAAACCCUGUCUCUACUAAAAAUACAAAAAUUAGCCGGGCGUGGUGGCGGGUGCCUGCAAUCCCAGACACUCAGGAGGCUGAGGCAGGAGAAUCGCUUGAAGGUGGAGGUGGAGGUUGCAGUGAGCCGAGAUCAUGCCACUGCACUGCAGCCUGGGCGACAGAGACUCCAUCU
Molecule: long non-coding RNA, 2910 nt
Filed under: Pongo abelii (Sumatran orangutan)
Lineage: Eukaryota; Metazoa; Chordata; Mammalia; Primates; Hominidae
Description: lincRNA
Source: RNAcentral